RNAcentral lists this ribosomal RNA (1786 nucleotides) under Shigella flexneri. RNAcentral describes it as "partial 23S ribosomal RNA". It matches the Rfam family "Bacterial large subunit ribosomal RNA", at positions 1107 to 2872 of the family's 2925-position model. Lineage: Bacteria; Pseudomonadati; Pseudomonadota; Gammaproteobacteria; Enterobacterales; Enterobacteriaceae. The record is from RNAcentral.
UAGAAGCAGCCAUCAUUUAAAGAAAGCGUAAUAGCUCACUGGUCGAGUCGGCCUGCGCGGAAGAUGUAACGGGGCUAAACCAUGCACCGAAGCUGCGGCAGCGACGCUUAUGCGUUGUUGGGUAGGGGAGCGUUCUGUAAGCCUGUGAAGGUGUGCUGUGAGGUAUGCUGGAGGUAUCAGAAGUGCGAAUGCUGACAUAAGUAACGAUAAAGCGGGUGAAAAGCCCGCUCGCCGGAAGACCAAGGGUUCCUGUCCAACGUUAAUCGGGGCAGGGUGAGUCGACCCCUAAGGCGAGGCCGAAAGGCGUAGUCGAUGGGAAACAGGUUAAUAUUCCUGUACUUGGUGUUACUGCGAAGGGGGGACGGAGAAGGCUAUGUUGGCCGGGCGACGGUUGUCCCGGUUUAAGCGUGUAGGCUGGUUUUCCAGGCAAAUCCGGAAAAUCAAGGCCGAGGCGUGAUGACGAGGCACUACGGUGCUGAAGCAACAAAUGCCCUGCUUCCAGGAAAAGCCUCUAAGCAUCAGGUAACAUCAAAUCGUACCCCAAACCGACACAGGUGGUCAGGUAGAGAAUACCAAGGCGCUUGAGAGAACUCGGGUGAAGGAACUAGGCAAAAUGGUGCCGUAACUUCGGGAGAAGGCACGCUGAUACGUAGGUGAAGCGACUUGCUCGUGGAGCUGAAAUCAGUCGAAGAUACCAGCUGGCUGCAACUGUUUAUUAAAAACACAGCACUGUGCAAACACGAAAGUGGACGUAUACGGUGUGACGCCUGCCCGGUGCCGGAAGGUUAAUUGAUGGGGUUAGCGCAAGCGAAGCUCUUGAUCGAAGCCCCGGUAAACGGCGGCCGUAACUAUAACGGUCCUAAGGUAGCGAAAUUCCUUGUCGGGUAAGUUCCGACCUGCACGAAUGGCGUAAUGAUGGCCAGGCUGUCUCCACCCGAGACUCAGUGAAAUUGAACUCGCUGUGAAGAUGCAGUGUACCCGCGGCAAGACGGAAAGACCCCGUGAACCUUUACUAUAGCUUGACACUGAACAUUGAGCCUUGAUGUGUAGGAUAGGUGGGAGGCUUUGAAGUGUGGACGCCAGUCUGCAUGGAGCCGACCUUGAAAUACCACCCUUUAAUGUUUGAUGUUCUAACGUGGACCCGUGAUCCGGGUUGCGGACAGUGUCUGGUGGGUAGUUUGACUGGGGCGGUCUCCUCCUAAAGAGUAACGGAGGAGCACGAAGGUUGGCUAAUCCUGGUCGGACAUCAGGAGGUUAGUGCAAUGGCAUAAGCCAGCUUGACUGCGAGCGUGACGGCGCGAGCAGGUGCGAAAGCAGGUCAUAGUGAUCCGGUGGUUCUGAAUGGAAGGGCCAUCGCUCAACGGAUAAAAGGUACUCCGGGGAUAACAGGCUGAUACCGCCCAAGAGUUCAUAUCGACGGCGGUGUUUGGCACCUCGAUGUCGGCUCAUCACAUCCUGGGGCUGAAGUAGGUCCCAAGGGUAUGGCUGUUCGCCAUUUAAAGUGGUACGCGAGCUGGGUUUAGAACGUCGUGAGACAGUUCGGUCCCUAUCUGCCGUGGGCGCUGGAGAACUGAGGGGGGCUGCUCCUAGUACGAGAGGACCGGAGUGGACGCAUCACUGGUGUUCGGGUUGUCAUGCCAAUGGCACUGCCCGGUAGCUAAAUGCGGAAGAGAUAAGUGCUGAAAGCAUCUAAGCACGAAACUUGCCCCGAGAUGAGUUCUCCCUGACCCUUUAAGGGUCCUGAAGGAACGUUGAAGACGACGACGUUGAUAGGCCGGGUGUGUAA